GACGAACGCUGGCGGCGUGCCUAAUACAUGCAAGUCGAGCGAAGUUUUUCUGGUGCUUGCACUAGAAAAACUUAGCGGCGAACGGGUGAGUAACACGUAAAGAACCUGCCUCAUAGACUGGGACAACUAUUGGAAACGAUAGCUAAUACCGGAUAACAGCAUUAACUGCAUGGUUGAUGUUUAAAAGUUGGUUUUGCUAACACUAUGAGAUGGCUUUGCGGUGCAUUAGCUAGUUGGUGGGGUAAAGGCCUACCAAGGCGACGAUGCAUAGCCGACCUGAGAGGGUGAUCGGCCACACUGGGACUGAGACACGGCCCAGACUCCUACGGGAGGCAGCAGUAGGGAAUCUUCCGCAAUGGGCGAAAGCCUGACGGAGCAACGCCGCGUGAGUGAAGAAGGAUUUCGGUUCGUAAAGCUCUGUUGUUAGGGAAGAAUGAUUGUGUAGUAACUAUACACAGUAGAGACGGUAC
RNAcentral lists this ribosomal RNA (470 nucleotides) under Gemella haemolysans. RNAcentral's name for it is "bacterial SSU rRNA". It matches the Rfam family "Bacterial small subunit ribosomal RNA", at positions 28 to 478 of the family's 1533-position model. The record is from RNAcentral. Lineage: Bacteria; Bacillati; Bacillota; Bacilli; Caryophanales; Gemellaceae.